This 1428-nucleotide ribosomal RNA is filed under the name metagenome. RNAcentral's name for it is "bacterial LSU rRNA". It matches the Rfam family "Bacterial large subunit ribosomal RNA", at positions 1522 to 2925 of the family's 2925-position model. The record is from RNAcentral.
AGGCUGGUUUUCCAGGCAAAUCCGGAAAAUCAAGGCUGAGGCGUGAUGACGAGGCACUACGGUGCUGAAGCAACAAAUGCCCUGCUUCCAGGAAAAGCCUCUAAGCAUCAGGUAACAUCAAAUCGUACCCCGAACCGACACAGGUGGUCAGGUAGAGAAUACCAAGGCGCUUGAGAGAACCCGGGUGAAGGAACUAGGCAAAAUGGUGCCGUAACUUCGGGAGAAGGCACGCUGAUAUGUAGGUGAAGCGACUUGCUCGUGGAGCUGAAAUCAGUCGAAGAUACCAGCUGGCUGCAACUGUUUAUUAAAAACACAGCACUGUGCAAACACGAAAGUGGACGUAUACGGUGUGACGCCUGCCCGGUGCCGGAAGGUUAAUUGAUGGGGUUAGCGCAAGCGAAGCUCUUGAUCGAAGCCCCGGUAAACGGCGGCCGUAACAAUAACGGUCCUAAGGUAGCGAAAUUCCUUGUCGGGUAAGUUCCGACCUGCACGAAUGGCGUAAUGAUGGCCAGGCUGUCUCCACCCGAGACUCAGUGAAAUUGAACUCGCUGUGAAGAUGCAGUGUACCCGCGGCAAGACGGAAAGACCCCGUGAACCUUUACUAUAGCUUGACACUGAACAUUGAGCCUUGAUGUGUAGGAUAGGUGGGAGGCUUUGAAGUGUGGACGCCAGUCUGCAUGGAGCCGACCUUGAAAUACCACCCUUUAAUGUUUGAUGUUCUAACGUUGACCCGUAAUCCGGGUUGCGGACAGUGUCUGGUGGGUAGUUUGACUGGGGCGGUCUCCUCCUAAAGAGUAACGGAGGAGCACGAAGGUUGGCUAAUCCUGGUCGGACAUCAGGAGGUUAGUGCAAUGGCAUAAGCCAGCUUGACUGCGAGCGUGACGGCGCGAGCAGGUGCGAAAGCAGGUCAUAGUGAUCCGGUGGUUCUGAAUGGAAGGGCCAUCGCUCAACGGAUAAAAGGUACUCCCGGGAUAACAGGCUGAUACCGCCCAAGAGUUCAUAUCGACGGCGGUGUUUGGCACCUCGAUGUCGGCUCAUCACAUCCUGGGGCUGAAGUAGGUCCCAAGGGUAUGGCUGUUCGCCAUUUAAAGUGGUACGCGAGCUGGGUUUAGAACGUCGUGAGACAGUUCGGUCCCUAUCUGCCGUGGGCGCUGGAGAACUGAGGGGGGCUGCUCCUAGUACGAGGGGACCGGAGUGGACGCAUCACUGGUGUUCGGGUUGUCAUGCCAAUGGCACUGCCCGGUAGCUAAAUGCGGAAGAGAUAAGUGCUGAAAGCAUCUAAGCACGAAACUUGCCCCGAGAUGAGUUCUCCCUGACUCCUUGAGAGUCCUGAAGGAACGUUGAAGACGACGACGUUGAUAGGCCGGGUGUGUAAGCGCAGCGAUGCGUUGAGCUAACCGGUACUAAUGAACCGUGAGGCUUAACCUU